GCAACGGCUGCUAGCAAUAUCUGGCUCAAAGCUUGCACACUAAUGGUUGGAUUGAGCUGCAGAUCGGUAGGAGGGCCAGUAAAAGAUUGAAGUAAAAGAUCACCGGCUUAUCGUCUGCAUCACAAAGAUGUGAGGACGUGGUGUCCAGAGGCUGAUGUGGAGAAAUGAGUUAUCCCCAUGUGCUGGCCAGCCUAAUGGAGG
Molecule: long non-coding RNA, 201 nt
Organism: Trichomycterus rosablanca
Lineage: Eukaryota; Metazoa; Chordata; Actinopteri; Siluriformes; Trichomycteridae
Exons: 3
Source: RefSeq, a predicted model, not a curated record